UCCAAUUAGGAUGCCUGAAAGGAAAAUAACACACCUGGGGCCAUCAUACCUACUAAGAAAUGCCACAGAUGUACCCAGGAGGAAAAAUAUAGACUUCUGGUGGAAGCCACAGAGUCCUUUCUGCAAUAGGCUGCUCUGAUGUUGAUACACUUUAAAAAUGUAGUAGUGAUAUUUUUGGGACAAGCUAUGUCUUCCUACUGAAUUAUUUGCAGUAGAAAAAAUCAUAGUUGCCUAGCCUUCCCUACCAAAAUUCUCAAAUCUGCUCUCAGAAGAUGAUUCCUGCCAAUAAGAGGAAGGCUUAAUCUUCAGGUCCCUGCUGUUUGAAAUAAUAAUGACUUGGGGCAUGGGCCAAAUUUCUGUUAGUGAAUAAAUAACAUUUCUUUAA
Lutra lutra (Eurasian river otter) is the source of this 385-nucleotide long non-coding RNA. RefSeq lists it as uncharacterized. The transcript is spliced from 2 exons. The record is from RefSeq and is a predicted model, not a curated record. NCBI's taxonomy places the organism in Eukaryota, Metazoa, Chordata, Mammalia, Carnivora, Mustelidae.